RNAcentral lists this microRNA precursor (111 nucleotides) under Chlorocebus sabaeus (green monkey). RNAcentral describes it as "microRNA 128-1 (ENSCSAG00000023831.1)". The stretch from base 16 to 96 matches the Rfam family "mir-128 microRNA precursor family". Lineage: Eukaryota; Metazoa; Chordata; Mammalia; Primates; Cercopithecidae. The record is from RNAcentral.
AUUGGCCUUGUUCCUGAGCUGUUGGAUUCGGGGCCGUAGCACUGUCUGAGAGGUUUACAUUUCUCACAGUGAACCGGUCUCUUUUUCAGCUGCUUCCUGGCUUCUUUUUAC